This 499-nucleotide ribosomal RNA is filed under the name Salmonella enterica subsp. enterica serovar Enteritidis. RNAcentral's name for it is "partial 23S ribosomal RNA". It matches the Rfam family "Bacterial large subunit ribosomal RNA", at positions 66 to 605 of the family's 2925-position model. The record is from RNAcentral. Lineage: Bacteria; Pseudomonadati; Pseudomonadota; Gammaproteobacteria; Enterobacterales; Enterobacteriaceae.
CUGCGAUAAGCGCCGGUAAGGUGAUAUGAACCGUUAUAACCGGCGAUACCCGAAUGGGGAAACCCAGUGUGAUUCGUCACACUAUCAUUAACUGAAUCCAUAGGUUAAUGAGGCGAACCGGGGGAACUGAAACAUCUAAGUACCCCGAGGAAAAGAAAUCAACCGAGAUUCCCCCAGUAGCGGCGAGCGAACGGGGAGGAGCCCAGAGCCUGAAUCAGCAUGUGUGUUAGUGGAAGCGUCUGGAAAGGCGCGCGAUACAGGGUGACAGCCCCGUACACAAAAGCGCAUGUGCUGUGAGCUCGAUGAGUAGGGCGGGACACGUGGUAUCCUGUCUGAAUAUGGGGGGACCAUCCUCCAAGGCUAAAUACUCCUGACUGACCGAUAGUGAACCAGUACCGUGAGGGAAAGGCGAAAAGAACCCCGGCGAGGGGAGUGAAAAAGAACCUGAAACCGUGUACGUACAAGCAGUGGGAGCACCCUUUGGGUGUGACUGCGUACC